Paramuricea clavata is the source of this 129-nucleotide non-coding RNA. NCBI's taxonomy places the organism in Eukaryota, Metazoa, Cnidaria, Anthozoa, Malacalcyonacea, Plexauridae. The record is from the annotation of a GenBank genome assembly.
AAAAUUCCUAUAAGAAUUUGGGACAAAAUUCCUAUAGGAAUUUUUCCUAUAGGAAUUCCUAUAGGAAAAAUUCCUAUAGGAAAAAUUCCUAUAGGAAUUUUGUCCCAAAUUCUUAUAGGAAUUUUUCCU